ACACGGACUGCGCGAACGUUAUUCGGAAUCACUGGGCUUAAAGCGUCCGUAGGCAGCUCUGCAGGUGGGGUGUGAAAUCCCUCGGCUCAACCGAGGAAUUGCGCUCCAAACCACAGAGCUUGAGGGGGAUAGAGGUGAGCGGAACUCACGGUGGAGCGGUGAAAUGCGUUGAUAUCGUGAGGAACACCGGUGGCGAAAGCGGCUCACUGGGUCUCUUCUGACGCUGAGGGACGAAAGCUAGGGGAGCAAA
Molecule: ribosomal RNA, 250 nt
Filed under: uncultured bacterium
Lineage: Bacteria
Description: partial 16S ribosomal RNA
Rfam family: Bacterial small subunit ribosomal RNA
Source: RNAcentral